RNAcentral lists this ribosomal RNA (446 nucleotides) under uncultured bacterium. Its description in RNAcentral is "bacterial SSU rRNA". It matches the Rfam family "Bacterial small subunit ribosomal RNA", at positions 330 to 792 of the family's 1533-position model. The record is from RNAcentral.
UCCAGACUCCUACGGGAGGCAGCAGUGGGGGAUAUUGCACAAUGGGGGGAACCCUGAUGCAGCGACGCCGCGUGGGUGAAGGAGCGUUUCGGCGCGUAAAGCCCUAUCGGCAGGGAAGAAGGAGGACGGUACCUGACUAAGAAGCCCCGGAUAACUACGUGCCAGCAGCCGCGGUAAUACGUAGGGGGCAAGCGUUAUCCGGGUUUACUGGGUGUAAAGGGGGCGCAGACGGCAGCGCAAGCCAGGAGUGAAAGCCCGGGGCCCAACCCCGGGACUGCUCUUGGAACUGCGCGGCUGGAGUGCAGGAGGGGCAGGCGGAAUUCCUGGUGUAGCGGUGAAAUGCGUAGAUAUCAGGAGGAACACCGGUGGCGAAGGCGGCCUGCUGGACUGCGACUGACGUUGAGGCCCGAAAGCGUGGGGAGCAAACAGGAUUAGAUACCCCUGUA